This 1447-nucleotide long non-coding RNA is filed under the name Equus caballus (horse). RNAcentral describes it as "lncRNA (ENSECAG00000059388.1)". Lineage: Eukaryota; Metazoa; Chordata; Mammalia; Perissodactyla; Equidae. The record is from RNAcentral.
GUGAAGGUUGUUUUUAUCUUGGUUAAUGCCUUUUCACUCCCAUUAACUGAGAAACUCCCCUUUCAGGAGUGCAACAUCAGAAUUUGAAAAGCCGUAUUUGUAGAAGACAUCGAUGCGAAUUGUUUCUUGUUUUCUUCCUUCCCCCGCCCUCAGUAGCAUGUCAGUUCUAUGAGGAUAGAAUUCAUUUUAAGUCACCCUUAUGUCCCUAAUACCUAGACAGUGUUUGGCACAGAGUUCGUGCUUAAUAAACAAUUAUUGAAGAAAGAAUUUAGAGAUUAACUAACCUCCGCUCCCUAAGGUCUGUGUCUUCACUCUGGACUGAGUAGCCAGACUCUCAGGCUGGGCUUUGGCCAUUGUUUAUGUCACAAGGAUGAGGUUUGUGGGUGUCGAAGGAAGACCCCAUUCAGAGCUAAUUUCUUGGUUCAGCUUUGCAAAUGCAGGGAGGGUGAUCAGAAAAGUCUGGGAGUGUUGGUGGACCCAUAGGCUUGUAAAGUGUUGGCCAUAUUAUGCCUCAAACCCUAAGCUCUUCAGUCAAAAUGGAAUUUGUGUCAUAGUCUCAGUGUGACAAUGCUGUUCAGUCAAUGUGAACAGCAAGCAGUGAAAAACAGACGCCAGACUACUGAAACCCGUUACCUCUGGAGGAGAUGACAGGAGCAGGACGAGCAGAAACAAAGUUGCAAACGUUUUCAUGGGGCUCAUCCCUUCCCACUAGAAUAGAAGCUCAAAAGACAGGCACUUACCCAGGACAGAGCAACUGGCUUGGGGAUUUCCGGCACAGUCCUUGGAGAAGCGUCACUGUUGACUUCGGGUUUGCAAAACAGCACUCUCUCCCUGGUUUCCAGAACACACCUCAUCAAAUAAAGUGCCGUCAGUUAUCACUCAGCUUAGCAAAGCCGAGAGCUUUGACUUGACUGUUUCUAGGUGAGGGAGAUGCCAAAGGCUCCAGGCUCCACAGGAGCCAUCAGUCAGCCUUGUGCGUACAGCCCAGGUGUAAUUCAGGGCGAUGACAAACACAGGGUCACCGCAGUAGGCUAUGGCUUUGCAGACACCCUGGACCUGCUUCCUAGAAUCAGAAAAAGCAGGCUUUACGUGUGUCUUGUGUUAAGUUGCCCUUCUCCCCUCCUGCACCCCCCACAGACAACCAAACCUCACUUGAAAUAUUUCCUUGGUACUGUAACGUCGGACUAGGGAUGGGUUCCCUAGCUCCAGACUUGCCAGGGUCACAGGUACACUGUGCCCGAUAGACUUAGCCCUGCCUCAGUUUCUCUACAUGAGGGCUCUUAAUCCUAGAGUCCAUGCAAAGCUCAUUCCAUCCAGCCUCUUUCGUCCUGGCAGCUCAGUGCUAAAUGAUCCAAGAGAGACAUUUAGACGUCUCCCAUUACCAGAACCCUCCCCGCCCAGAGUAAUUUUUAUUUUAUUACAAAAGACACUUCAUAUAGCGUACAAG